RNAcentral lists this ribosomal RNA (472 nucleotides) under [Eubacterium] nodatum. RNAcentral describes it as "bacterial SSU rRNA". It matches the Rfam family "Bacterial small subunit ribosomal RNA", at positions 9 to 481 of the family's 1533-position model. Lineage: Bacteria; Bacillati; Bacillota; Clostridia; Peptostreptococcales; Anaerovoracaceae. The record is from RNAcentral.
GAGUUUGAUUAUGGCUCAGGAUGAACGCUGGCGGCGUGCCUAACACAUGCAAGUUGAGCGAGAAAUCACUUAAAGAAGCUUCGGUAGACUUAAGAGAUGGAGAGCAGCGGACGGGUGAGUAACGCGUGGGAAACCUGCCCUUGACAGGAGGAUAGCCGAGAGAAAUUUCGAUUAAUACUUCAUAAAGCAGAGCAUUCGCAUGGAUGAACUGCCAAAGAAUUAUCGGUCAAGGAUGGUCCCGCGUCUGAUUAGCUGGUUGGUAAGGUAGCGGCUUACCAAGGCGACGAUCAGUAGCCGGCCUGAGAGGGUGAACGGCCACAUUGGAACUGAGACACGGUCCAGACUCCUACGGGAGGCAGCAGUGGGGAAUAUUGCACAAUGGGCGAAAGCCUGAUGCAGCAACGCCGCGUGAAGGAAGAAGGCUUUCGAGUCGUAAACUUCUGUCCAAAGGGAAGAAUAAUGACGGUACCUU